GGGGAGAGAGGCACAGCAAUAAUAGAAACAGAUGCAUGUCAUAUUACAAUAAUGAUAGGUGUGUAGUGAGGUAUAGCACCUGACAGUUGAGUAGCGCUUGUGAACGCACCUCCAGACUCCACUCCUCAGUAGCCACUCCCUUAAUCACAGCCAGCCUAUAUAAGGGACGAGUGAGCACAUGCUCCUUCUUUUUGGCUGCUGGUUCCUGUGUGUGGUGGCUGCUGUUUGCUGUACUGGCUGGAGGUAGCAGUGGUGUCUGAGCCUUCCUGC
Molecule: non-coding RNA, 270 nt
Organism: Plectropomus leopardus (leopard coralgrouper)
Lineage: Eukaryota; Metazoa; Chordata; Actinopteri; Perciformes; Serranidae
Source: RefSeq, a predicted model, not a curated record